CAGCAGCCACGGUAAAACGUAGGGUGCAAGCGUUAAUCGGAAUUACUGGGCGUAAAGCGUGCGCAGGCGGUUAUAUAAGACAGAUGUGAAAUCCCCGGGCUCAACCUGGGAACUGCAUUUGUGACUGUAUAGCUAGAGUACGGCAGAGGGGGAUGGAAUUCCGCGUGUAGCAGUGAAAUGCGUAGAUAUGCGGAGGAACACCGAUGGCGAAGGCAAUCCCCUGGGCCUGUACUGACGCUCAGGUGCGAAAGCGUGGGGAGCAAACAGGAUUAGAUACCCGUGUAGUCCCUGUCUCUUAUAA
RNAcentral lists this ribosomal RNA (301 nucleotides) under uncultured bacterium. RNAcentral describes it as "partial 16S ribosomal RNA". It matches the Rfam family "Bacterial small subunit ribosomal RNA", at positions 509 to 809 of the family's 1533-position model. The record is from RNAcentral.